This 492-nucleotide ribosomal RNA is filed under the name uncultured bacterium. RNAcentral describes it as "partial 16S ribosomal RNA". It matches the Rfam family "Bacterial small subunit ribosomal RNA", at positions 30 to 507 of the family's 1533-position model. The record is from RNAcentral.
AUUGAACGCUGGCGGCAUGCUUUACACAUGCAAGUCGAACGGUAACAGGCCUUCGGGUGCUUACUAGUGGCGAACAGUUGAGUACUGCAUCGGAACGUACCCGGAUCUGGGUGUUCGUGCAGCGUAAGCUGUGCUAAUACCGCCUGUUAUCUCAUGAUGACAGCGGGGGACCGCACAGCAUUUUUUGGCCUCGCGCCUUUGGAGCGGCCGAUGUCGGAUUAGCUAGUUGGUGGGGUAAAGGCCUACCAAGGCGACGAUCCGUAGCUGGUCUGAGAGGACGACCAGCCACACUGGAACUGAGACACGGUCCAGACUCCUACGGGAGGCAGCAGUGGGGAAUAUUGGACAAUGGGCGCAAGCCUGAUCCAGCAAUGCCGCGUGCGGGAAGAAGGCCUUCGGGUUGUAAACCGCUUUUGGCAGGAACGAAACGGUGUAGGCUAAUACCGGGCGCUAAUGACGGUACCUGCAGAAUAAGCACCGGCUAACUACGUG